AAAUUGAAGAGUUUGAUCAUGGCUCAGAUUGAACGCUGGCGGCAGGCCUAACACAUGCAAGUCGAACGGUAACAGGAAGCAGCUUGCUGCUUUGCUGACGAGUGGCGGACGGGUGAGUAAUGUCUGGGAAACUGCCUGAUGGAGGGGGAUAACUACUGGAAACGGUGGCUAAUACCGCAUAACGUCGCAAGACCAAAGAGGGGGACCUUCGGGCCUCUUGCCAUCAGAUGUGCCCAGAUGGGAUUAGCUAGUUGGUGAGGUAACGGCUCACCAAGGCGACGAUCCCUAGCUGGUCUGAGAGGAUGACCAGCCACACUGGAACUGAGACACGGUCCAGACUCCUACGGGAGGCAGCAGUGGGGAAUAUUGCACAAUGGGCGCAAGCCUGAUGCAGCCAUGCCGCGUGUAUGAAGAAGGCCUUCGGGUUGUAAAGUACUUUCAGCGGGGAGGAAGGUGUUGUGGUUAAUAACCGCAGCAAUUGACGUUACCCGCAGAAGAAGCACCGGCU
Molecule: ribosomal RNA, 508 nt
Filed under: Salmonella enterica
Lineage: Bacteria; Pseudomonadati; Pseudomonadota; Gammaproteobacteria; Enterobacterales; Enterobacteriaceae
Description: bacterial SSU rRNA
Rfam family: Bacterial small subunit ribosomal RNA
Source: RNAcentral